GACCGUGCAAAGGUAGCAUAAUCAUUAGUCUUUUAAAAGAGGGCUGGAAUGAAAGGUUUGACGAGGUAUUAACUGUCUCAUUUUAUUUGUUUUUAGAAUUUAACUUUUUAGUCAAAAGGCUUAAAUUUUAUUGGAAGACGAGAAGACCCUAUAGAGCUUUAUAUUUAUUAUUUUAAUUAUAGAUAUAUAAUUUUUAAUUAAAUAAAUUAUUAUUUUGUUGGGGUGACAAGAAAAUAAAACUAACUUUUUUAUUUAUUUAACAUUAAUUUAUGGUUAUUUGAUCCAUUAUUAUUGAUUAUUAGAUUAAGUUACCUUAGGGAUAACAGCGUAAUCCCCUCCCAGAGUUCAUAUUUACGAGUGGGGCUGCGACCUCGAUGUUGGAUUAAGAUAAUAAUUAGGUGUAGCCGCUUAAUU
This 414-nucleotide ribosomal RNA is filed under the name Somatochlora flavomaculata. RNAcentral describes it as "partial 16S ribosomal RNA". It matches the Rfam family "Bacterial large subunit ribosomal RNA", at positions 1944 to 2568 of the family's 2925-position model. Lineage: Eukaryota; Metazoa; Arthropoda; Insecta; Odonata; Corduliidae. The record is from RNAcentral.